This is a non-coding RNA of Rattus norvegicus (Norway rat), 5122 nucleotides long. NCBI's taxonomy places the organism in Eukaryota, Metazoa, Chordata, Mammalia, Rodentia, Muridae. The record is from RefSeq and is a predicted model, not a curated record.
AAGAGCUUCUUCCAAGGUUUGGCUGGUUCUGACUGUUGAUCUCCUGGGCUCCUGUCUGGGUUAUGUCAUAUCUAUGUCCUAAACCCUGGUUUUCUCUCAUUGAGGAAAAUUGAAGCCAUCGUCAAGCCAUUCAUUCAACGCUUGCCUUUCUGAGUGUUCUGCUUUCUGGAAUUAAUCUAAAUUUCCCUUUUCUCUCCCUCUUAUGUAGAAUAUUAGAGCUCAGGCAGGCCUUGAACUUGGAUCUGCCUACCUUUGCCUCUAAAGUGCUUUGAUUAUUUUUUUUUCUUUAUUUGCCAAGGAAGCCAGUACUCCAGAAUAGAUCUACCAAACAGAAUUCCAGCUCAGCAGUGUCCGAGUUAGUUUCUGCCUCUUUGCAGCUUCACCAACCUUUCCGUUAACAUUUGGCUCAAGGCCCCUCUCAGUGGUCGUCCUCAGAAGAACUUUCCACGUGAUAUCUGAGGCCAUCCUGCGGCCCCAGAGAACUUCAGCACACAGGGAGGCCUAAGAUCCGCUCCAAUAGCAUCUUAUUCUCAACACGCUAACGGAAACGUCUUUUAGACGUGGCAGCUUGGAGUGCCCUCGGAAACUACACAAGCAUAGUGGCAAAUCUCUGAGCAUAUUUACAGGGGUAGUGGGUCCUCUCUCUCCAGAUGGCUUGCCACGACGAGGUAAUCCCACUCUGUGUUACCGGUGAUUGAAUUCUCCCCCGAGGAAGGAAAGCGUAUGAGACCCAUGAACAUUUGAUGUAUGGAUAUUUCUAAACAGCCUGACUUGGAAAAGAUUAAAACAACCCCGCGUGCACAAUCCCUGGGCCACUCCAACAGCAGGACCAGGGUUUUAAUCGGCUCCAGGUGGCUCAGCUCAGGAAGGCUUAUGUUCCUUAGCUUCUUCAAUUAAGGCUAAGUGCAAUCAGAGGUGCCAGGGUUCAGAGGGUUCUGGCACAUUCAAAGGACAGACACAGGAUCUCCCUGCCAAGUCCUGGAGUACUGUCUUUGGGACUGUACUGUUCAUAAUGAGAAGCUACUGUGAUUAAUGAGCUGGAGGGAACGGGGAAAUCCCCUAUCUUAGGAAAUCAGAACCACGGCAGGAAACCUAAGAGCAAAUUAUUACACAGCUUGUCCCACCGCCUUGGGUUUCUUGACCUCACACGCUUUGUGCGCAACUCUUUCUUUGGGGGCCCCUGCCACAUAAACAGCCACGGUCUGAUUGCUCUGCGUCGUCUGCAGGCCCUGGGAUCGGUGUGUUUGUCUGGCGUUGCUCAGAGGCCCUGGGAGCUGGCCACAUUUAAAAGUAAGAUAUCGCUCUCAAACGCUAGGCUUAGGAAAUAAUCACACGACUGACUUCACCACCGCCUGCUUGAUGAGCUUCCGGUCUGAGCACCAGGAAGCGAGAGCACAGAAGAUGUCCGGAGGCACAACCUCUCAGGCACUGUCUUCAGCAAGUCAUAAAACUGUCGUACCUCAGCGGGGUAAAAUCAGAAUCCAGAAGGUUUUUUUGUUUGUUUGUUUGUUUUUUGUUUUUUGUUUUUUGCUUUUUUUUUCUGUCAUCUGAUGGUUAUGGUCAGAAUUUCACUGGAAGUAAGAAAACUGGUAUUGCAAACAGAUGGAUGGAUGAGAGUCUGUACCUUGAAUUUAAUGUCUCUUCAGAAAUAUUAUCACCAUAAUAGAUUUUAAAAGCACCGCUAGGAACCGUGAUAUACUCACAUUUUUGAUGACAUAGAUGUAACCUUAUCUUUUGUGACUAUCAAGAGGUCAUUAGAAGACAAGAAAACAGGGUGUAUUUUUCAGUCAAGUCAAAGAGAGUCCUUGGUAAUUUUUUUUUCUUUUCAAUUUUACAAGUGACUAAAGUUGGUAUUUAAAUUAGAUUUCGGUCCUCAUUAUAAAAUGGCACAUUGACUUCACUGUGCGUUGUUUUAAAGGCGGGAGAAAUGGAGUCAAUUUUAUUUUAUCACACACAUAACAUAAAAGUCUUUGUAAUUACUUUAUUUUAUGAGACUCCCCAUCAGCUGGGCAUAUUGUAAAUAUCACGUUCCACAGUUUAUAGAUGGAGAAAGACAACCACAUGGAGACUAAGCUGCCCGUGUUCACAACAGCAACAACAGAAGCACACCCAAGAAGGCUAUUUCUAAAGAAAGUCUCCAUCUCUACCAUACAAGUAGACUCCAAGGUCAGGAGCUCACGAGCCUGCAGAACCCUGAGCCGGGACCCUCUGCUGAGCAGAAUCCUGCCUUGGUGCCACCGUUGUUAGACAUCUUACCUCAGCAUAGACGGCAACCUCGAGAGGAGACGCAUGGCUUAAUGUGUGUCUCCAGCUGUCAAAUGACCUACAAAGAAGUUUGAUCAUCAACAACAAAUGUGCAUCCGCUCAGGAGAAGACCCUUACCUCAAACACACAGCGGGAUGGCUGCAGUCCAUGAACUUUGAGUAUGAUGAAAGUCUACUCUCCACACCACCACCAAGACGGGCAGCAGCCAGCCCGUCUUUCCUCAGAUCUGCCUCCGCUUACAGAUUCCUGACUUGCAAACCGAAAAGAAGAAUCUCACGCACCAUUUCUCUGCCAGCUGAGUUCCUGUCCUGGGAUUGAACUUAGCUGUCGCGCUUGAGAGAUGGCGUUUUUACCAGGUAAGCCAUCUCCCUGGCCCCUUUCAGUGCCCUUUAUGUUCAAGAAUAAGAAGUCUGCAUCUGAAGAACGUGAAGGUGGAUCGACGAUAUCAGCAACGUUAAUUGGCUCGUUUCUCAGUGGCUACAAAGAAAGGAGCUUGUGAUUAAUAAGGCUUUGAUUUUUCCAGUGUAUUUUAUUUUGAUGUUUUAAGACGGAGCUUCACCGUGUUGCCCAGGCUGCUCCAUCUGCCUCGGUCUUCCAAGUAGCUGGGAUUACAGGCAUGUACCGCCAUGUACCGCCAUGUUGGGCACGGUGUACUUCUAUUUGGUAGUUGAUACAAUGGCAUUAUGCAACACUGACCAGACUUGGUUAGGUCACCUCUUGCAGGGGGGAAUUCUGUGGUUUCCUUUCCCUACUAGACCUGUGUCAUUGAGCAAACUAAAUUAGCAGAGCAAUUCACCCCUACAUAAGCCAUUAAUGAAGUGCCUCCAUUAUACAUGCAUAUUCAUUAGCUCGCCCCUGAGGAAUUCUCCAUCAAUCCCAGCACACAAAGCCCUGACAAGUCAAGACAGAUGAAGCUUCUCCGUGGUCGAGGAGGUGCUAGCUUCCUGUAUUGUAACACGGAGUGAGUGUCCGUGGCGCUUUCCUUUGUAAAGCUGAGAGAUACUGUGGCUCCCACACAAUGGGAGAGGAUCACAGAGCUCACAGGACAACCAGGGCUCGUCUGGUAUGGCACACAGAAUGGGAGCGGUGGCUCUUUUUCAUCUUCCCGUAAACUUCCUGGGAAAUGAUCUUUCUGAAAGCUUCGUUAAGAAGGAAAUGGCCAUCUAGGUUUUAUUUCGGUCCAUAUUCUAAGAAUUUUGAAACAUGAAACGUGUUCCAGGAAAAAUGAAACAACAUUCAGGUUCAUUUCCUAAAGAUUUCCUAGUCAGGGCCUUAUGGUAACUACCUAAUCCCUUCCGAGGACAGCGUCCCAAUGUCCUAGUCACCUCUCCAAUACUCCAUCUUUCUUAAAGGUCCCCACCACUAUACAGUCUACAACCAUUGGAGGACAAAGUAUAUCCAAGUCAGAGCAUUGGUAUUAAGUAAAUACUUCCUUAAUACAACCACUUAGGUAUCCUCCCCCUUACCCCGCCCUGUGUGUGUGUGCGUGUGUUUCUCUGUCUUUCCCCUACUCAUAAGUUGGGGCACAGUCUGUUGCUUCAACUUUCUAACUAAAUCCAGUAUGCUAGGAUGAGAAAGAAGAGAAGAGAAACAAUAAAAAAAAAAAUCAAAACACACUCCACCCCACACCUGGAAACUAUGCCCCUCCCCCAAGCAUUUUGCAGAAGACUGAAGGUGACCAGAAAUGGUGGCUUCGGACUGAGAAAUCCCUCGGAAAGGAGGAAUAUCCCUUUGGCCUCACAGUGCUUGCAAGGCUGCAGUUACAGAGCAAGUAAUGUCCUUAAACUCCCCAGGAAUUGAAGAUCCUUAGUACACUGAUGACAAAUUUAUUUGAGAAAGAUUGUCAUCUGAGGAGGCUGACUUUCGUCCCCAAAUUUGGGGUUUUAAGAAGCAAAUUAGAGCCAGGUUCUUGGCAACAGAGCUGAUAAAAUAUUUAAUACAGAAGAAAUUAAAAAUAAAUAAACAAGUUUAAAAUGAAUGUAAAUUUUAAAAAAAAACAUGAAGUAUUUGACUAUAAAAUAUUUUGUUGGAGUUUUUAACGGGCACCAGAAUUUGACUAUGUUCAUCCUGCCACUUACAAGAAAUAAAAAAGGAAGGCAGAAAUCACGGAGAGUCACAGGAUGACUCCUCGCUUGUCAUUAACAUCUUUUACGAUGGCAGUAGGAAAGAGUCGCUGACCCAGCUAGCCUGGAUUAAUACUGAGCUCUAUGCCGAAGAGAAUCAACCCACAAAAUCCUUUAACUGUAGGCCGUGGGCAGAGGGCAUUUCCCUGAAAGGAAGGACACACAAAGGCUCACCUGAGCACAUGCUUGGAACGACCCAUUAGCUCAUUUGAAUCUUCAAUCUGUAGAUCUGGAGGGCUGGAGGGCAUCGAGGACCAUUUUGAUACAGGCAGAGGCAGAAUUUGCUCUGUUUCAAUUUUAGAAUCUGUGCUAAAAUGGGCAAUUUAGAAUAAUAAAGCUAUCAUGUGCUUCUUGGUCUCUCUCCUGGCUUUUGAAUUGUUGCAUUUAGAUCUUAACUCUCUGCUACUGGUGCUUUGUCUGGAAUAUCUUACAGAUCUGCUGGCUUUGAAUAUAUUCAGUUUACGGAGUGGGAGGAAAUGAUAGCUGAAUGUCCUUUCCUGGGGCUGAACCCAUCGUAUGGUAGUAACUGCUGUGGGAAGGUGCUCCAUUUUACCAUUAGUAUUUACCUCAUUUCUGCUAAUAAUCUCUCCCCCACAUUGGCUAAAAUGGACAUCGUAUUGGCUAUCAAGGAAGAGACUAAGAGACACUUUCAGCCCACACAGUUCUUCUACUAGAAGGCUGGCUACAGAGUUUUGCAGGACUCAGCAGCCCCAGCAACACCGGGCACACAGACA